GAGAGGUAAGGCCACCAGCCGGCUCACAAGAAAAACGUCCACUCCUGAAAAAUGAAAGCAGUUUUACUCAUUGCUGGUGUGUUACAACCUCAGCUUCCUUGGUGCAUUAGUGCCAGAUCUCUGCCUACCUGCUAUACACGUGCCAUUGCCCGGACUACAGAAUGGUGUCAGCUCUGACAAAAAAAAUUUAAUGGAUAAAUAAUAAGAGGGCGGGGAUGGGUAUGAAAGCACAGCUGUAUUCAAGUGCCAAGAAAAGACACCUGAGUUACUCUGACUGGAGUCACCCUGCUCGAGCACAAACUCCACUAAGCCAUGGAUUAGCACAGCACUGAGCUCAGGUAAGUUCCCUCCAGCACCUAGCAUUGUACACAGGCUAGAUGCGGAGCCAGCUGGGUUCCAGCUUUGUCAGCUCCAACUCAGGCUGUGCUUCUGCUCUUUUGCUGUAUGAAUGAACGAACUUGCAAACAUCUGCCUACGCUAACCCACGUAAGCCCUUUGGUAAGGGGAUCAGGCUGGUACCAUGCUCACCUAAUUCAGAUACAGCAGGUGUGUCUCGGGCUCUGUGACACGCCAGGGCUGACCUUAGAAACACCACUGCUACCUCUGCAGAGUGGCAUCACAGCUAAUGACUAGGGAGUGAGGCACAACCUCCACGGAGCCAGGUCUGGAGUAAGUAUCCCUGACCUCAUUAACCUGGAACCCUGGCAAACUGCUCAGGUUGGGAACUGGCUCUGUUUUCAAAAGUGUAACUGUUUUAUGUUCCAGUCUCUAUAGCAGGCAAAUAGCAAACCAGAGAAAAUACUUUUUCACUUAAAAAUUUUAAGAUUAUUUUAAACACAGUAUCAAUCCAGAACUUAAACAAAAAUACUCUUCCCAUUCAGUAUUAACGGCAACUUGAGGCAUUAUGCUACACUGUAGAAACGGUAGCAGACAUAAGUUGCCCUUAUUUAAGUGUCCACUUAACUCCUUCAGUAAUUUCUGUACGCUCACAAUCCUCACUUAGCAUAUCUUGAUUGAAUUUAAAACUUUUCGCAUUAAAACUGAUGAUAUGCCAGACUAUAAGAUAAAAUAUGAUAUAUUUAUUCAUAUGAAUAUAAACCAGAAUUUUUUAUUUCUUGGCAUUUGAUUACUAUCACGCAACCUAUCAUGUUGGAUCAGUGUAGUUGCUUACUUGCUUAUUUCAAAACAAUUUUAAUAAAUAAUUUGAUAAGACUUCUGGGCACUUGCUGUGAGGUGUUACAGGACACUCAUGACCCAUACCACACUAACGCUGCUUUGCAGAAGUCUGUACAGACCUAGAGAUUAAGUACAAUCCUGGCAAUGUGUGUAGUGCCGCUAACCAGAGAGGAGAAAAAUCCCACCAUCAUUACCUUGUUCCUUCCCUGAAUUCAGCAGCAAGCAAAAAGUUUUUCAAGUUUCUGUUCCUACUUCAAGGAUGAUUCUGGGAAAAGAGCUUAACUAAAUAAGGCUCAUGUAACUUUUGUUUCAUUCUGUCUGUAGUUUCUAGCAACAUUAUGCAACAACAGAGCCCAGAGCUCCCUGGGCUAGUUUUCCCUUUUGUUUUUUAAAAUGUGGGCUCCUGGGGAAUUCUCACAAUUCUGUGCUACAUGUACGCUUUGAUAAAUAAAUACUAAUACUGUAGACAUAUUUAAAGAAAACAGUGAAAUUAUGCUUGAAAGAUAAUUAAGUACUAAAUACCUUGUUCAUAGCCGAUAUGGGCAACCAUCCAUGCUGUCUUUGGGCCAAAUCUAGUACUGCCAUAACAGCUGCAGACUUGUGUCCCCCUGGGUAGCUGCUUAUGAUUGCUUCUAUUCGCUUUUUAACGGGAAAGAGUGGGAAAAACACAUCAGUACUGAUCUAAAGACAAAAUCUGUGUAUUUAACUCUUUUUGUCUGCAUACCUUUUGGUUUUCCGGUGUGAACUCAAAUGGAGUAUCUGGAUUAUUUUCAGGACUAUCUCUAUGCUUCAGGAAAAGAAAAAGAAAACGUGUAAAAAUAGGGUUGUCAGGAAAUUUACUGUUGUAAAAUAUCUUCUCAUUGGACAGUUACAGUUGAGUUGCUUGAAUAAAAUCAAUAAACUCCAGAUAAAAAUUUCAUAGUACUCAAUCAUAAAUUAAGUAUCUCUGGGAAAGUUAUCAAAAAUAUUGGUAAUUAUUUCAUCACUCUUAAAAAUACUUAGUCCUGUUAUUUCAUAUUCAAAAAAUGUUACUUCUUAAUGACAUGGUGUUGUUAUCAAAAUAUACAUUUUUAAACACUCUUAAUACGGUUUGGCAAUUAUGUUCAGACUCAUCACAGGCAGAUUAAGAGUCCUCUGGUUACUACCUUACAAACAAAAAGGGACUAAACCAACAGCCCAUUUUUUUCUUUUCCAAUGAGACACUAACUAUAAAAACUUGAAAAUUCAUCAAGAAGCUUGCUAUAUAACAAAAAUGUUUGUGUAUUGAAACAAAUUAUUAACCCAUUUUAACAUAUUCUUUGAUUUGUAAUGGAUUUCAACAUUUUAAUUUUAGAUACAAUUCUGAAUCAGAGCAGAAGGAGCAGAAUUGUGAAUAUUUCCAAAAUAAGGACCUGUUCUGUGUCUUAGCUGUACAGACCAAAUCCAUGGUUCAUGAUAAGUAUUCUUUUCCAUCUCAAAUCUGCACGCAUGUUUUAUUUCAAGCUGCUCUUUUGCCUUCCAUAGCUAUCUGACACAGUUACAAUUGUACUUGAUCCCAAUUUCUUUUGCAAAUAAGUAUAUUUGAUCUAUUAAAAUUUCCCUCUUUGCCUAGAACAGCUGUUCUUUUCUGUGUAUCAUCUCUCAACCAGUAUCCUUAAAUACCCUACACGUGAAGGAGGAAUAAUAAUUUCCUUAUACCUGAAGCUACAGUUUGCCACACAGUCAGUUCUUUGCACCAAGGCUCCAAGAUUUUACAUUUACAUUGUAAAGGCUACAGCACAGAUAAACACCAAAUGAGACCCUGCCACCUUUUUUUCUUUUCCAUCUUCCUAAAAGGGCUUCAUCUAAUUUUGUGCUGUGAGAGUUUGAUGGUUUUCAUUGAGAGCUUACAGAGCUCUAGGCCUACUGAGCUGUUAGGAUUUUGGCAAUGACAUGUUCUCUAGUAUUCCAUUUGUCUGACGAUACACCAUUUAUCUGAGACUUAGGUGAGCUGAUUUUCUCCUAAAUGAUAAUCAGUGCAUUUCUGCCUUUUUAAGGAUACAGAUUCUGCAGAACAAGAUCAGAAUGAAGGACACAAGUAUUGGAAUGAAUACUAUGUUAAAAAUCCCAGAAUGGUUGAGGUUGGGAGGGACCUCUGGAGGUCAUCUGGGCCAAACCCCCUGCUCAAGUAGGACCACCCAGAGCUGCGUGCCCAGGACUGGGUCCAGACAGCUUCUUCUGAAUAUCUCCAAGGAUGGAGAAAUCCACAGCCUCUCUGGGUAACAUGUGUGAGUGCCUGGUCAUCCUCACAUGUAAAAACAGGUUUCAUGAUGUUCUCUAAGGCCAUUCCCUCUGGUCCUGUCACUGGGCACCACUAAAAAGAGCCUGACUCCAUCCUCUGCACCUUCCCUUCAGGUAUUUAUACAUAUUGAUAAGAUCCCCAGCCUUCUCUUCUCUAACAGUCCCAGCUCUCUCAGCCUUCCCUCACAUAAGAGAUGCUCAUAAAAAGACAGCAGUAUAUUAAGGUUUCCUCCAUACACAAACUAAGUACCAACAAUUAUGUCUGUACCAACUACUGCAAUUUGUUGAAAAGCAAAAUCAAACUCCACCCAUUUUUCCCCAGUUUCCUCUCAUGCUCCCCAAUUUCCUCAAGUCUUACACAACACAUUUUCAUUCCAAGCAUAGCUUGACUGUAUCACGUUUGUAUUGCAGCACUCAGCCUAACCUCCUUACAAGUGUGAGCAGCUGCACUGCAACGGCCUACCCAAGCCACACUGACCCCACAGACAAUGGUACUCUCCCAUGGAAGGUACUAAGGCUGCUGAGCGUUCAUCUCGCAUUCUUUUUGCUACACCAACCUGGGACAUUUUAUUAUUCUUUUUCAGUAAUCUAAUCAUCUUUCUUGACACAGAGAAUUACGAAAGACCACUGAAUAAUUACAAUAUAGCAACUAGAAUAAUUUAGCUUUCAUGUAUACUGCAAAAAAGUUGACCUGAAACUUGACCUGUGCCCUGCGGUAAACAACGGAUCAAAACACUGUAAACCAAAAUGAGAGAACUGUGUGGUCUGCAGGGGAAAAGAUGUUUAGAGUGACAACCUGUUAAGAGCUGAUACCAAAUUGGCAAUGAAAAGAAAUUUAUUACUUCUCCUCCAUGGGGAAAGUACCCUACAUUGACUACUCCAGCAGAACUCAAGGUAAAAACCUCUCUUAAAUUAAGAAUGGUGGAAGUGCUUUCCGACCCAAGUAUUUCACAGACCAUCAUCACAAGUAACUAAAAGUAUAAUCUAGCAAUUAUCUAACUUCCUGUACUGAACCUCUGCACAGCCUUAUGACAAAACUCACAUUAGGGCAGUUUAUGUGUGAAGUAAACUCAGUCCACGUGUGAAAACCACAAGAAAGAAGAGUUAAGAUUUUGCUGUUGAGGAGGCUAAACACAGGUAAAAGUCAAAGACAGAAGGCACAUUGAAAGAAAGGUAACUACUGUAAACAAAAAGUAUCUUUGAAAUGAGGCCUUCCCUAGCCAUCAGAAAUAAUAGAUUUGGAGCAGCUUUCUUACAUUGCUACGGACAAAGAACCUACCUAGUUGUAAACUUGAUAUACUCAUUCUGGAAGUGUGAUCUAUCUGCCCAUCAUGGCACCAAACUGAGUUUAAUGGUGGAGAGAAAGCCUCUUCCUGGGUGUUUCAAAAAUAAAAAGCAGUUUCA
Phalacrocorax carbo (great cormorant) is the source of this 4839-nucleotide non-coding RNA. NCBI's taxonomy places the organism in Eukaryota, Metazoa, Chordata, Aves, Suliformes, Phalacrocoracidae. The record is from RefSeq and is a predicted model, not a curated record.